RNAcentral lists this transfer RNA (74 nucleotides) under Gammaproteobacteria bacterium. Its description in RNAcentral is "tRNA-Pro". It matches the Rfam family "tRNA". Rfam says of the family: Transfer RNA (tRNA) molecules are approximately 80 nucleotides in length. Their secondary structure includes four short double-helical elements and three loops (D, anti-codon, and T loops). Lineage: Bacteria; Pseudomonadati; Pseudomonadota; Gammaproteobacteria. The record is from RNAcentral.
CGGGGCGUGGCGCAGCCCGGUAGCGCGCCUGCUUUGGGAGCAGUAGGUCGCCGGUUCGAAUCCGGCCGCCCCGA